RNAcentral lists this non-coding RNA (31 nucleotides) under Mus musculus (house mouse). The record is from RNAcentral. Lineage: Eukaryota; Metazoa; Chordata; Mammalia; Rodentia; Muridae.
UGUGUACGGCUCCUUUACCUGCACACUGGGU